CGAACAUAAAUUGGACAUACACAACGGAAGGAUGGUUACAGCCUUAGCCAGGAAGGUUUAUGAACAUAAUGUGGUCAUCAACUGGAAUCAUGCUAUGGUGGUUAAGCCAGUAUCGGAUUGCUUUGGGCUCAACGUCCUUGAGGCGAUUGAGAUUGAAAAAAGGAAACUACACUGUAAUAUUAUAAAUGACAAUCCACCUACUGAACUGCCGGAGUCCUGGAAAUGGUAUGCUCUACACGAUUUAUAAUACAUUGAUUAGUGCCCAAUUGGUGGUAUCCAUCUAUGAAUCUGAAGACGUUUAUUUACCCCUGUUGGACCUGCUAUACCAAAUAUCAUCCUAGCAUAAUUGGCAUCUUGUGUUCUAUAUGUGUUGCCUGUGGUUGUUGGAUGUAUAACUGUGUAGUCUCUUGUGAGCGCGAU
Molecule: long non-coding RNA, 420 nt
Filed under: Androctonus crassicauda
Lineage: Eukaryota; Metazoa; Arthropoda; Arachnida; Scorpiones; Buthidae
Source: RNAcentral